RNAcentral lists this ribosomal RNA (462 nucleotides) under uncultured bacterium. RNAcentral's name for it is "partial 16S ribosomal RNA". It matches the Rfam family "Bacterial small subunit ribosomal RNA", at positions 29 to 508 of the family's 1533-position model. The record is from RNAcentral.
ACGAACGCUGGCGGCGUGCUUAACACAUGCAAGUCGGGCGGAAAGGCCCUUCGGGGUACUCGAGCGGCGAACGGGUGAGUAACACGUGAGUAACCUGCCCCAGACUUUGGGAUAACCCUCGGAAACGGGGGCUAAUACCGGAUACGACACAGCUUCGCAUGGGGUCUGUGUGGAAAGUUUUUCGGUUUGGGAUGGGCUCGCGGCCUAUCAGCUUGUUGGUGGGGUGAUGGCCUACCAAGGCGACGACGGGUAGCCGGCCUGAGAGGGCGACCGGCCACACUGGGACUGAGACACGGCCCAGACUCCUACGGGAGGCAGCAGUGGGGAAUAUUGCACAAUGGGCGGAAGCCUGAUGCAGCGACGCCGCGUGAGGGAUGACGGCCUUCGGGUUGUAAACCUCUUUCAGCAGGGACGAAGCGUAAGUGACGGUACCUGCAGAAGAAGCGCCGGCCAACUACGUGC